GGUUCUGGCUCAGCGGUAGAGUGCCUGCCUAGCACACACGAGGCCCUGGGUUCAAUCCUCAGCACCA
This 67-nucleotide transfer RNA is filed under the name Marmota monax (woodchuck). Its description in RNAcentral is "tRNA.Ala". Lineage: Eukaryota; Metazoa; Chordata; Mammalia; Rodentia; Sciuridae. The record is from RNAcentral.